AAUGGAGGAAACUCUGAUGCAGCGAUGCCGCGUGAGUGAAGAAGGCCUUUGGGUUGUAAAGCUCUUUCGUCGGGGAAGAAAAUGACUGUACCCGAAUAAGAAGGUCCGGCUAACUUCGUGCCAGCAGCCGCGGUAAUACGAAGGGACCUAGCGUAGUUCGGAAUUACUGGGCUUAAAGAGUUCGUAGGUGGUUGAAAAAGUUGGUGGUGAAAUCCCAGAGCUUAACUCUGGAACUGCCAUCAAAACUUUUCAGCUAGAGUUUGAUAGAGGAAAGCAGAAUUUCUAGUGUAGAGGUGAAAUUCGUAGAUAUUAGAAAGAAUACCAAUUGCGAAGGCAGCUUUCUGGAUCAUUACUGACACUGAGGAACGAAAGCAUGGGUAGCGAAGAGGAUU
RNAcentral lists this ribosomal RNA (392 nucleotides) under uncultured Gammaproteobacteria bacterium. RNAcentral describes it as "bacterial SSU rRNA". It matches the Rfam family "Bacterial small subunit ribosomal RNA", at positions 370 to 779 of the family's 1533-position model. The record is from RNAcentral. Lineage: Bacteria; Pseudomonadati; Pseudomonadota; Gammaproteobacteria.